UACGUAGGAGGCAAGCGUUGUCCGGAAUUACUGGGCGUAAAGCGCGUGUAGGUGGUGGGACAAGUCUGCUGUGAAAGCGCCUGGCUUAACCGGGCGAGGUCGGCGGAAACUGUUCGACUCGAGGACGGUAGAGGGGGGUGGAAUUCCCGGUGUAGUGGUGAAAUGCGUAGAGAUCGGGAGGAACACCUGUGGCGAAGGCGGCCCCCUGGGCCGGCCCUGACACUGAGACGCGAAGGCGUGGGGAGCGAACGGG
RNAcentral lists this ribosomal RNA (253 nucleotides) under uncultured bacterium. Its description in RNAcentral is "partial 16S ribosomal RNA". It matches the Rfam family "Bacterial small subunit ribosomal RNA", at positions 524 to 776 of the family's 1533-position model. The record is from RNAcentral.